This 557-nucleotide unclassified non-coding RNA is filed under the name Hevea brasiliensis (rubber tree). The record is from RNAcentral. Lineage: Eukaryota; Viridiplantae; Streptophyta; Magnoliopsida; Malpighiales; Euphorbiaceae.
UCUCUCUCUCUCUCUCUCUCCCGGUGGAGAGCUAGAAAAGCAAUUAAACUGAGUUGAACAUGGUUGAGUUAGCACUGCAUAUCUGUAGUGGAGGUGGCUCUUAGUAUAUUGUAGUUAUCAGAUAAUGAAACGUUGAUAAUAGCAGGAUUUAAUUGUUUGCAUGUGAAUGGAGAAAUUUUUUUUUUUGUUCUGUUUUUUUCCCUCUCAAUUUAAAAUCUGCUUGGACAAUUUCCUGGUUUGCAAAUUGGAGAGGCUUACAAUAUUUUUUCCCGUUUCAUUUAAUACAUCCUCUCUCUCUCUCUCUUUGCGGGCACAUGCGCCUCUGUCCGAGGAGUCUGCUCUCAGUAACAGUUUCUAUUAAUGUGAUUUUGAUAAUUUUCCAUGAUUGGUUUCUGAAGAACACUUCAGUUUGCUUCACUUGGACUUUAGAUUUGGAAAUUCGAAAUUUGUAAUGCGAAACUUUGUUUCUUGUUUUGGUUGUCUUCCCUUUUCGGCUUGGUUCUGUUAGAUCUGGGUUGUGCUUGUUCUUUGAUUCACUAAUAAUUUGGAAAAUCUAG